Molecule: ribosomal RNA, 937 nt
Filed under: uncultured archaeon
Lineage: Archaea
Description: bacterial SSU rRNA
Rfam family: Archaeal small subunit ribosomal RNA
Source: RNAcentral
CUGGUUGAUCCUGCCAGACCCGACCGCUAUCGGGGUGGGGCUAAGCCAUGGAAGUCGUACGCCCCAGAAAGGGGCGUGGCGGACGGCUGAGUAACACGUGGCUAACCUACCCUCGGGACGGGGAUAGUCCCGGGAAACUGGGACUAAUCCCCGAUAGGUGGAGAGGCCUGGAAUGGUUCUCCACCUAAAGGCCCACACCUAGAUGUUGGUGUGGGCGCCCGAGGAUGGGGCUGCGGCCCAUCAUGGUAGUUGGCGGGGUAACGGCCCGCCAAGCCUAUAACGGGUAGGGGCCGUGAGAGCGGGAGCCCCCAGAUGGGCCCUGAGACAAGGGCCCAGGCCCUAUGGGGCGCACCAGGCGCGAAACCUCCGCAAAUAGGAUGUGCAGAGGAUCUUGAGCCCCUGCACAUCCUAGCGGAAUGCGGGAAACCGUGACGGGGUCACCCCGAGUGCCCCGAAGAGGGGCUAUUCCCCGCUGUAAGAAGGCGGGGGAAUAAGCGGGGGGCAAGUCUGGUGUCAGCCGCCGCGGUAAUACCAGCCCCGCGAGUGGUCGGGACGAUUAUUGGGCCUAAAGCGGCCGUAGCCGGCCCGGUAAGUCCCCGCUGAAAUCCUCGGGCUCAACCCGAGGGCGGGCGGGGAUACUGCCGGGCUAUAGGGCGGGAGAGGCCGGGGGUAGUCCCGGGGUAGGGGCGAAAUCCGAUAAUCCCGGGAGGACCACCAGUGGCGAAGGCGCCCGGCUGGAACGCGCAUGACGGUGAGGGCCGAAAGCCGGGGGAGCGAACCGGAUUAGAUACCCGGGUAGUCCCGGCUGUAAACGAUGCGGGCUAGGUGUUGGGCGGACUUAGAGUCCGCCCAGUGCCGCAGGGAAGCCGUUAAGCCCGCCGCCUGGGGAGUACGGCCGCAAGGCUGAAACUUAAAGGAAUUGGCGGGGGAGCACCAC